GAACGCUGGCGGCAGGCUUAACACAUGCAAGUCGAACGAGAAGCACCCUUCGGGGUGUGGAAAGUGGCAGACGGGUGAGUAACGCGUGGGAAUAUACCUAGAGGUACGGAACAACGCCGGGAAACUGGUGCUAAUACCGUAUGUGCCCUUCGGGGGAAAGAUUUAUCGCCUUUAGAUUAGCCCGCGUUAGAUUAGCUUGUUGGUGAGGUAAAAGCUCACCAAGGCGACGAUCUAUAGCUGGUCUGAGAGGAUGAUCAGCCACACUGGGACUGAGACACGGCCCAGACUCCUACGGGAGGCAGCAGUGGGGAAUCUUGCACAAUGGGCGAAAGCCUGAUGCAGCCAUGCCGCGUGUGUGAUGAAGGCCCUAGGGUUGUAAAACACUUUCAGUGGGGAAGA
Molecule: ribosomal RNA, 399 nt
Filed under: uncultured Hyphomicrobiales bacterium
Lineage: Bacteria; Pseudomonadati; Pseudomonadota; Alphaproteobacteria; Hyphomicrobiales
Description: bacterial SSU rRNA
Rfam family: Bacterial small subunit ribosomal RNA
Source: RNAcentral